This 605-nucleotide ribosomal RNA is filed under the name Dihammatus sp. UPOL A00625. Its description in RNAcentral is "partial 16S ribosomal RNA". The stretch from base 381 to 539 matches the Rfam family "Bacterial large subunit ribosomal RNA", at positions 2473 to 2632 of the family's 2925-position model. Lineage: Eukaryota; Metazoa; Arthropoda; Insecta; Coleoptera; Lycidae. The record is from RNAcentral.
CAUGUUCUUUUGAUAAUAAUUUAAGGUUUAAUCUGCUCAAUGACAAGUUAAAUUGCCGCAGUAUUUUGACUGUGCUAAGGUAGCAUAAUAAUUAGUUUCUUGAUUAGGAGCUUGUAUGAAUGAUUGGACAAGAAAUUUUCUGUCUCUUUUUAAAUUAUUUUUGAAUUUUAUUUUUAAGUUAAAAAGCUUAAAUUUGUAUAAAAGACGAGAAGACCCUAUAGAGUUUAAUAUUUAAAUUUUUAUUUAGUUUUGGGUUCAAUUUUAGAUUUUAAGUAUUUAGUUGGGGUGACAGGAAGAUUAAAUAAAUUCUUUUAUUUUUUUAUUGAUGAUUUUUAAUUUUUUUAUCUAUAAUUUUUAAAUUUAAAAUAAAUUACCUUAGGGAUAACAGCGUAAUUUUUUUUAAAAGUUCAUAUUAUAAGAAAAGUUUGCGACCUCGAUGUUGGAUUAAAAUUAAUUUUUGGUGCAGUAGCUUAAAAAUUAGGUCUGUUCGACCUUUAAUAUUUUACAUGAUCUGAGUUUAGACCGGCGUAAGCCAGGUUGGAUUCUAUCUUUAGUUUAUUAAUAUAUUUUAGUACGAAAGGACCAAAUUUAUAUUAUAUUAAUUG